RNAcentral lists this microRNA precursor (89 nucleotides) under Canis lupus familiaris (dog). RNAcentral describes it as "mir-8799 microRNA precursor family". It matches the Rfam family "mir-8799 microRNA precursor family". Lineage: Eukaryota; Metazoa; Chordata; Mammalia; Carnivora; Canidae. RNAcentral also lists the same sequence under 1 other name. The record is from Rfam by way of RNAcentral.
GGGGGAGCGCCGGAUCUUGGGCUGUGUCCCUGGCGCCCUGGGCUCCUGGGCCUGUGCUGUUGGUUUCACUCCUGGCCGCUCAGGUCUCU